UGGGAUGUGGCUCAGUGGUAGAGUGCUUGCCUAGCAUCAUGAAUGAGGCCCUGGGUUCAAUUCCUUGCAACACAC
RNAcentral lists this transfer RNA (75 nucleotides) under Ictidomys tridecemlineatus (thirteen-lined ground squirrel). RNAcentral's name for it is "Spermophilus tridecemlineatus (thirteen-lined ground squirrel) tRNA". It matches the Rfam family "tRNA". Rfam says of the family: Transfer RNA (tRNA) molecules are approximately 80 nucleotides in length. Their secondary structure includes four short double-helical elements and three loops (D, anti-codon, and T loops). The record is from Rfam by way of RNAcentral. Lineage: Eukaryota; Metazoa; Chordata; Mammalia; Rodentia; Sciuridae.